UACAGAGGUCUCAAGCGUUGCUCGGAAUCACUGGGCGUAAAGGGUGCGUAGGCGGGUCUUUAAGUCAGGGGUGAAAUCCUGGAGCUCAACUCCAGAACUGCCUUUGAUACUGAAGAUCUUGAGUUCGGGAGAGGUGAGUGGAACUGCGAGUGUAGAGGUGAAAUUCGUAGAUAUUCGCAAGAACACCAGUGGCGAAGGCGGCUCACUGGCCCGAUACUGACGCUGAGGCACGAAAGCGUGGGGAGCAAACAGG
Molecule: ribosomal RNA, 253 nt
Filed under: uncultured bacterium
Lineage: Bacteria
Description: partial 16S ribosomal RNA
Rfam family: Bacterial small subunit ribosomal RNA
Source: RNAcentral